AGUCGUAACAAGGUCUCCGUAGGUGAACCUGCGGAGGGAUCAUUACACAAAUAUGAAGGCGGGCUGGAACCUCUCGGGGUUACAGCCUUGCUGAAUUAUUCACCCUUGUCUUUUGCGUACUUCUUGUUUCCUUGGUGGGUUCGCCCACCACUAGGACAAACAUAAACCUUUUGUAAUUGCAAUCAGCGUCAGUAACAAAUUAAUAAUUACAACUUUCAACAACGGAUCUCUUGGUUCUGGCAUCGAUGAAGAACGCAGCGAAAUGCGAUAAGUAGUGUGAAUUGCAGAAUUCAGUGAAUCAUCGAAUCUUUGAACGCACAUUGCGCCCUUUGGUAUUCCAAAGGGCAUGCCUGUUCGAGCGUCAUUUGUACCCUCAAGCUUUGCUUGGUGUUGGGCGUCUUGUCUCUAGCUUUGCUGGAGACUCGCCUUAAAGUAAUUGGCAGCCGGCCUACUGGUUUCGGAGCGCAGCACAAGUCGCACUCUCUAUCAGCAAAGGUCUAGCAUCCAUUAAGCCUUUUUUUUCAACUUUUGACCUCGGAUCAGGUAGGGAUACCCGCUGAACUUAAGCAUAUCUAAAAGUCG
Molecule: ribosomal RNA, 582 nt
Filed under: uncultured fungus
Lineage: Eukaryota; Fungi
Description: eukaryotic LSU rRNA
Rfam family: 5.8S ribosomal RNA (bases 211-364)
Source: RNAcentral